UACGGAGGAUGCAAGCGUUAUCCGGAAUGAUUGGGCGUAAAGCGUCCGCAGGUGGCUAUGUAAGUCUGCUGUUAAAGAGUCUGGCUCAACCAGAUAAAGGCAGUGGAAACUACAUGGCUAGAGUGCGUUCGGGGCAGAGGGAAUUCCUGGUGUAGCGGUGAAAUGCGUAGAGAUCAGGAAGAACACCGGUGGCGAAGGCGGUUGCCUGGAGCUUUGCUGACGCUGAGGCGCGAAAGCGUGGGGAGCGAUCCGG
Molecule: ribosomal RNA, 253 nt
Filed under: uncultured bacterium
Lineage: Bacteria
Description: partial 16S ribosomal RNA
Rfam family: Bacterial small subunit ribosomal RNA
Source: RNAcentral